UGUUACCUAUAUAUCCGAGUUACACCUCCUCGCCCUACCUAUUGUUUGUUGUUUGCCAGCUUUGCGAGUUGUAGGCGAGUUUAGGGUCUUGUUGAUGUCUCGAAAUGUUCGGGAUAUCUUGUUGGGAAGUUGACACAUGUAACACCUUUUGAAAAUGAUGUUGAUAACUUUUGCUACAACUAAAAUUGAUAAGGGAUAAUAAUAUUGCAGAGGCAUCUGUGAGCCCCUUUGCGAAAGCAUCGGAUAUUUGUCUCGCUAAUGUCCCCUAGGACCCGAGUUCUUGUUAUCUGUUCUAAGGCUGAGCGCACUAACCACUCGCGGGAGAUUUUAUCGGGAUCCCCCAUCACCCAUUACCUUUUCUCAAGUCUGUUGAAAAGGGGGCCACAACCUUGGUUUUAUUUGCCUAUGCCAUGUAUGCCAUGUUUUACUUACUGUUGCCUUCGGGUGUUUACUUCCUGUUGCCUUCGGGUGUUUAUAUUCUGUACUGUACCUUGCGGGACGUUUAGCGAAGCGUGUGGUUUGCACGCCUAGCCGCCGACGCAAACCCUGAGUCCGCUUCGGAGUAUGGCCGGACUUCGAUACGGGUAGCUUAGUUGGGUGGCCCCCCUAGACUUUCUUGCAGAACUGGGAACGGUCUUGUCAUGAUAUCCUUCCUUCGCCUGGUUGGAGGAUAGAGCGUGCGUGUAUGGGAACAGUAGUGCACCCCUGCAGGGGUAUAUCUUUUCGGAAAGCCGUGUCCGCGGUUAUGGACGACUUGGAGCUGUUUAACUCGAUCAUAGAACAACUUACACCUAAUCUUGCCGCUAAUAACUUGCUAAUAAUCUGCGUAGUAAGUUAGUACUACUACAACGGAUAUGGAAUAAAAUUGUCAACUGUGUGAGUGCCUUGUUAGUACCUCUUGGCUAAGGGGGAUCGCAAUGGCUGGGUUAUGUUUGCAGAGUAUAGAACUGCUAGCUUAUGCGCUCUCUCAUCUUCUCUGAUAGACGAAUGUUGUAGCGUGUCUCUAUUGGUUAGUUGCUUUGCUACCGCUAAACUCCACAUAUAGCCGGGCGAAGUUUAUACCGCCCCCCAGCAAGCAUAGCUGAUCUUGUCUCGCAAGUACGUGCCAUUUGGUACUUACCCUCAUUUUUCUCUCUCUUUUUCCGGAACCCGCUUUUCGACAAACAGGUACGACAGAUGAUGAGCAGUACGCAGGACGCUACUUUGUCGAGUUCACGGACGACGACUUCGUUGCGUAGCAGGAUCGUUCCUAAGGCAGCAGCCUGUGGCUUGUUGGUUAUGGAUCCCGCUUGGUUAUCUUCAGGACUCUUAGUCCAAUUUGGAUCUUGUCUGUACCCAGACUAUUUGCUAUCUUUAUGUAUGAUGUACUGUUGGGAUAUGUUUCCCUUUUGAGUGUCAUUUGGAUCUUGCUCAGUAGAGCGUUGCUAUAUAUGAACUUUAUUUCCA
Molecule: non-coding RNA, 1446 nt
Organism: Lolium perenne
Lineage: Eukaryota; Viridiplantae; Streptophyta; Magnoliopsida; Poales; Poaceae
Source: RefSeq, a predicted model, not a curated record